AAGUCCGAGAAUCAGUCCUCUGCUCCGUCGCUGUCCAUUUAAGCACCUUGGAGAACUCCCAUCCGGAAGAACGUGCCACGGAAGAAGCACAUUUGGAUUGGGGUUGUGUAUGUUACGUCAUGUCUACAUAAAAAAGGACUGCAACGAUAGCCAAUAUUUCUUAUCUUCUGAAGGGUCAUUAUUAAAUUACUUACAGGGUUUAUAGAUGUUUGAUAGUUGAGUUGAUUGGUGGGGAAAAGGGUAUGCGUAACCUGAAUUCCUUGAAUGCACGCGAGAGAUCUCAAGGAUGGUCCAUUCUUGUUCGUCGAAAUGAUUGUUUUCCGCAAGAUUGGCCGAUAUAGUGAAGCCCUUUUGAAGCCUGCAUGGGUUGCGUUGUAAACAGCAGCAUGGGCAGCGCGCAUUCCAACCAGUCUAAAUAUAUCUGUGAGGGUUGCAAGAGGGGAAGGGCAGGACGACAGCCAAUUCUUGGAAGAUUUAACCGUCGUGUGCGAGAUAUAUAAAUUGUCUUUUAAAACGCACCAUAAAGACUGUUUCAUUAGUGAGGCAAGGUGGGAACGAGUCCAAGAUGCCGUCAAAUCAGAAUUCCAGAACCAGGACGCGGGAUCGGAACAACGUCCUGAGCAGACCCGAAUUUAUAUCCCUUAACCAACCCCUGCGAGGUGUCAACUCUGACAGCCGGGGCACGUCAAGGAGACCUUGUCAAGCCAAGCACCAAGCAAGCCAGUCAAGUGAGCAUUCGCAAGAACCUACCGACAAUGCCAACAAGGAUCGGAAAGAGCCCGCAAAACUUCCAGAGGAAGACUGCAUGCUGCUGAACCCUUCGUUCAAGGAGAUAGCAAUGAAUUCUCUCCUCGCCAUUGACAUUUGCCUGUCCAAGCGCAUGGGGGUCUGCGCUUACACGUCUUCGUCUUGGGGGAGCGUCCGUUCCAUGGUCACCCUGCUCGCGCUUACUGGGCAUGGCAUCACGUGGAUCUUUGGCACUAUCGUGUGUCUAACUAGGAGUAAUACGCUGGCUGGACAAGAAGUCUUGGUCAAUCUACUGCUUGCCCUAAUACUGGAUAUCAUGACUGUGGCCGGAGUCCAGAAACUGGUCAAGCGUAAAGGACCAUGGGAGAUGAAUCCGGGUUUCAUGGACUAUGUCGCCAUGGAUGUCUACUCCUUCCCUGCAGCCCAUGCCAGCCGAGCAGCCAUGGUGUCUAAGUUCCUUCUGUCGCACCUGGUUCUGGCCGUGCCCCUUCGCAUCCUAUUGGUCCUCUGGGCUUUCCUAGUUGGCCUAUCCCGGGUACUGCUGGGGAAGCAUCACCUGACCGACAUAGCCUGUGGCUUUGCACUGGGCCUGCUACACUUCAGUCUGGUGGAGACGGUGUGGCUGUCCUCCAGUGCCUGUCAGACGCUCAUCUCUAUAGGCACACUGAGCUGGAGCCCCUUUUACUGAAAACAUCUGCUAGGUUAAUGUUAUUAAGCUCAUAUGAUGCUCUGUAAUCGAGAAUAUAGACAAUAUGCCACCUUGUAAAUAUGCCUGUCUUGAAAAAAGAAAAAGGGCUUCAUAACAGCAGUAUGGCUUUUCUGUAAUAUCUCUGAUGAAUAUUUACCACCCACACUUCUAAAAUCUUUGCACAUUGAUCAUGAGUAAUGUUUUUUUAAUGGCAGCAUGUGAAAAAGGUUAACAGGGCAAUAGUUCAACAGGACAGGAAACGUGGUUGUAUGUGUUUGAUCUAUGCUCCCACUUUUGACUAGAGUGUGUCACUCCUUUUGCUUGAGCCCCAAUGCUGUCGGGUCCUGUUCCGAUUCUUCCUGUUCCUCAGACUGCACCUAGGGUCACUUCUUUCACUUUUUCCUCUCUUCCUUUUUUUCCCAACACAAAUAGCUAACUCUUACACCGACCUCUCUUUUCAAAAAAAAAUUUAAAUUAAAGAAUAUAUAUAGUUGAUGUACAAAUUGGACUGUGAAAUGUAUGACAAUGAUCAGUGAAGCUUCGUUGCACAUUUAUGUACAACCUGUGCAAAGUACCGUAUUUUCCGGACUAUAAGUCGCAUCAGUCAAAAAAUGCGUCAUGAAGAGGAAAAAAACAUAUAUGUCGCAUUUAUUUAGAUUUUUUUUCACAAAAUCCAAGACCAAGAACAGACAUUUAAUCUGGAAAGGCAAGUUAUUCAACUACACAAUGGCACACAAAACAACGGUCUAGGUCCGGUAUGUUAACAUAACACAUUAACAUUUAUUCAGCUACACAAUAACAUUAAGAACAUACUUGGAAGGCUGAAUAGGCUAAAUUAACAUAACAAGCUAGCGAGUCCAACAAGCCAGUUACCGGUAAGCUAGCUCACCAAGCUCCCGAUCUCAUUCCACAUCACUGAAUUCGUUGAACUCGUUGGUUCUUGUCAGUCAGUAUGAAUUAACAUUUAAAAACAUGUUAAAUUAUAUAUAUUUUGAUAUAUAAGUCGCACCUGACUAUAAGUCGCAGGACCAUCCAAACUAUGAAAAAAAAGUGUGAUUUAUAGUCCGGAAAAUACGGUAAUAUAAUAUACAAUCACCUGUUGAUAUGGACAUGAGCUGUAUAUAUUUCCACUGGGAAAUGUAAAUUGUUCCAAAACAUGGUGACAACAUGUAAUUCUGUUUUUGCUGUAAUUCCAUUUGGUUUGUGUGAAAACAGAUAAGUGGCUGUUGUGUAGAUCAGGGAUUCUACUACUGGAUUACACAAUGUUCAUCCAUGUCAAAUAGUGAGCUGAGUUUGCACCUUUCUAGCUAAUUUAUCUGAGGCAUUAAUGUGUAUCACACAUUGUUUGUCAAAGCAUUAACCAAACAGAUAAACAUGGUCCGUUUGUUGAUGGUGCUGAUUUUAUGCCUCACUGAGUCAAUAAGUCGUGUCUAUGUGAAUGUAAAGAUCAUUCUUUGCAUCGGGAUUGAAUUUACCAAUGGUACAGUGUGUGUGUGUGUGUGUGGGGGGGGGGGGGGGGGGGCACUGCUAGCACUGCUACUCUAGGUUUAAACGUUUUGACAAGCUAUGCUGUUCUGAAAUCAUUACUAUAUUAUUUUGGGUUAUUGUUGUCUUACGGAACAUCGAUGUCCAUCACAUAAAAUACAUAUUGCGAUUUAUCCUAUUGAUUAUUUUAGUCAACAUGUUGAAAUUUUACCCUUUUUGCCACAAUGAAAAGAUUGGAGUGAGUUGGACCAGUUUGUAUAUUGCUUGUGAGCAAGUCAGCAUGUUUCUUUUGUACAAGGGUGACAAAUUGUAUUUUAAUGCAAUGCAAAUUUUCCAAUCAAAUGUUCAAAAGGAAGCCUUACAAGCUGUGAAUGGUGGAUAUACUCCAUUAGUUAUUUCUGAGGUUGUUUAUGCAUGAAAACAUAAAGAAAGCUUUUGCUAUACAUUUUAUUGUAUUUUUUUGUAGAUUGAAAAGUUUGCAUUCUCUUUGAUAAUGCAAUGAUUUGAACAUUGUGUAUUUUAAACUAUUUAUUUUACAGUUUUGUGGUAUCUCAAACCGAAGAGUAAAAACAAUUGGACAGCCAGCUACAUGGGUUUUUGUUAUGCACUUGAAAAUGAAACGUCCCUUUUUCAGGAUAACGUAUUUCAAAGAUAAUUUUGUAAAAAUACAAAUAACUUUACAGAUAUUUAUUGUAAAGGGUUUAAACAAUGUUUUCCAUGCUUGUUCAAUGAACCGUAAAACAAUUAUUGAACCUGUGGAAUGGUCAUUAAGACACUAACAGCUUACAGACGGUAGGCAAUCAAAGUCACAUUAAUAAAAACUUAAGACACUAAAGAGAUCUUUCUACGGACUCUGAAAAACACCAAAAGGAAGAUGCCCAGGGUCCCUGCUCAUCUGUGUGAACAUGCCUUAGGCAUGCUGCUUGGAGGCAUGAGGACUGCAGAUGUUGCCAGGGCAAAAAAUGACAAUGUCCGUACUAUGAGAUGCCAUAGAAGACAACACUACAAGGAGACAGGACGGAUAGCUGAUCAUCCUCCCAGUGGCAGGACACGUGUAACAAGACCUGCAAAGGAUCAGUACAUCUGAAAAUCACACCUGUUGGACAGGUACAGGAUGGCAACAACAACUGCCCAAGUUACACCAGGAAUGCACAAUACCUCCACCCGUGCACAGACCGUCUGCAAUAGGCUGAGAGAGGCUGGACUGAGGGCUUGUAGGUCUGUUGCAAGGCAGGUCCUUAUUAAACAUCACCAGGAAAAAUUUCACCUAUUGGCACAAACCCACCUGGACUAGACAGGACUGGAAAAAAGUGUUCUUCACUGACAUCUCAACACAGUUGUCUCAUCUAGGUUGAUUGUCAUACUUGCCUUGAUUGUUAAGGGAAUGAGCGCUACACCAAGGCCUGUACUCUGGUGUAGGAUCAAUUUGCUAUUUGAGGGUCCGUCAUGGUCCAUGGCAGUGUGUCUUAGCAUCAUCGGACUGAACUUGUUGUCAUUCCAGGCAACACUGUGCGUUACAGGGAAGACAUCCUCCUCCCUCAUGUGGUUAGGGUUAGAUAACUCUAACCCUUCCUGCAGGCUCAUCCUGACACUACCCUCCAGCAUGACAAUUCCACCAACCAUACUGCUUUUUCUGUGCCUGCAAGACAGGAAUGUCAGUGUUCUGCAAUUGCUAGCAAAGAGCCCGGAUCUCAGUCCCAUUGAGCAUGGAUCGGAAGGUGAGGGCUAGGGCCAGGGCCAUUUCCCCCAGAAAGGUCAAGGAACGUGUUAGUGUGGCUUGGUGGAAGAGGUUGGUACAAAAAUGGGAGAUGAACCUCUCACAACAACAACUGGUAAAUCUGGUGCAGUCCAUGAGGUCGAUAUGAACUGCUGUACUUAAUGCAGGUGGUGGCCAGAUACUGACUGUUACUUUUGAUUUAGAUUAUUAUAAUUUUUAACCUAUUUUUACUGUGUUGCGGUAUUCUGGUGUUGUGGCAAUCUUUCAGAAAAUGGAAACUGAUCAUAUUCAAAUCCAUCCUUAAUAUGUGCCAUUCUGUGUUUUCCUCUUAAUUACCAACCCUUAGCAACAGUUACCUGAAUCCUCUGGUGCCAGUUGUUCAGAAGUGAUGUGAUCGGAUUUCAGCUAUUGGAUUAAAUCUUUAAAAUGGGUUGUUCAAAAUAAAAAAAGCAUUCUGAAAUUGGAUUAGAUCACGUAAUCCAGUUUUGGUUUUGGUCUGGAUAAAACCUUCCAAUAUGUUUUGUGAAAAACUUUUUAGUAGGACUGGGAUACCUUUGAUCUAAAAGAUCUAGAUCAUUCUGAUCCCAGCAGAAGGUUGGAUUCAUAGUGGAUUUCAGGAACAAAAUGUAAUAAAAGUUGAAAUUGGUCAAAUAAAACUAUAUUUGUAUCAUGUAGUACAUACAUUUAAUAAUAUGAAAGAGCAGAAGUACAGAUUUGUCUGGCAGAGGAACAAAUCACUCUUUACCCAACUUCAGCAAACCAAAACCAGACUUGAGAUCCGCCUCCUAAUAAGAGAGCUUCAAAAAUCUGGUCUCUCUACAACAGAAGACGAAAUCUGAAAGUUCUUUAACCCUUUUAACUAUUGGACAUUUAGCCCUUUUUCUGAUUUUGAAACACACGUUCAAAAUAUUCACAUUGUAUUUGUACAGAAUGUAUACAAUUUUUUUUUUGUGGGUCAGAUGGUAGCUCUGACAGUUUGGAUUGUUUUAGUUUGCCUUUUUCUGUCUCUUCAAAUCAAAACACUUAAAAGUGACCCCAUGCUGGCUAUUGAACUUGUUCUUUAAGUAGCUAAUAGCGUACAUUGUUAUAUGUAGUCCCAUUUAUAACACUGGGAAUCUGAAUUUGGUCAACAUUGGAUUGGGUUAUCCAAUCCAAUGUUACUUUGAAAAAUCAGCACAGAAGUAAGAUUGAUUACUUGAUCCUGGAUAGCAAAACAUGGGAUUUCAAAAUCCAGAUAAUUCUGAUCCAAAUUAAACUUUUUGAACAACUGGGCCCAGAUUAUAAUUGUAUUACAUGACAGAAAGGAUGAUGUAUACAACUUCGUUGAACAAGUUUUUUUGUGUGUGUGUAGUUGCACUGUCUGUGUUUCUGCAUGUUUUAAUAUACUGUAACUGCACUGAAAAAAACUGUAUUAAACAGGUCAAAUUCCAUGCAUCACCACAUACCAUA
RNA transcript from Osmerus eperlanus (European smelt), 6086 nucleotides. It is a transcript of the gene named inactive phospholipid phosphatase 7, with no coding region annotated. The transcript has 4 exons. The record is from RefSeq and is a predicted model, not a curated record. Lineage: Eukaryota; Metazoa; Chordata; Actinopteri; Osmeriformes; Osmeridae.